GGCCUACGGGAGGCUGCAGUGGGGAAUUUUGGACAAUGGGCGCAAGCCUGAUCCAGCAAUGCCGCGUGAGUGAAGAAGGCCUUCGGGUUGUAAAGCUCUUUUGUCAGGGAAGAAACGGUUGUGGCUAAUAUCCAUGGCUAAUGACGGUACCUGAAGAAUAAGCACCGGCUAACUACGUGCCAGCAGCCGCGGUAAUACGUAGGGUGCAAGCGUUAAUCGGAAUUACUGGGCGUAAAGCGUGCGCAGGCGGUUUUGUAAGUCUGUCGUGAAAUCCCCGGGCUCAACCUGGGAAUUGCGAUGGAGACUGCAAGGCUAGAAUCUGGCAGAGGGGGGUAGAAUUCCACGUGUAGCAGUGAAAUGCGUAGAUAUGUGGAGGAACACCGAUGGCGAAGGCAGCCCCCUGGGUCAAGAUUGACGCUCAUGCACGAAAGCGUGGGGAGCAAACAGGAUUAGAUACCCUUGUAGUC
This 467-nucleotide ribosomal RNA is filed under the name uncultured Oxalobacteraceae bacterium. Its description in RNAcentral is "bacterial SSU rRNA". It matches the Rfam family "Bacterial small subunit ribosomal RNA", at positions 335 to 795 of the family's 1533-position model. The record is from RNAcentral. Lineage: Bacteria; Pseudomonadati; Pseudomonadota; Betaproteobacteria; Burkholderiales; Oxalobacteraceae.